Molecule: ribosomal RNA, 253 nt
Filed under: uncultured bacterium
Lineage: Bacteria
Description: partial 16S ribosomal RNA
Rfam family: Bacterial small subunit ribosomal RNA
Source: RNAcentral
UACGUAGGGGGCAAGCGUUGUCCGGAUUUAUUGGGCGUAAAGAGCGUGUAGGCGGCCAGGUAGGUCCGUUGUGAAAACUCGAGGCUCAACCUCGAGACGUCGGCGGAAACCAUCUGGCUAGAGUCCGGAAGAGGAGAGUGGAAUUCCUGGUGUAGCGGUGAAAUGCGUAGAGAUGUGGAGGAACACCAGUGGCGAAGGCGACUCUUUGGCCUGUAACUGACGCUGAGGCGCGAAAGCGUGGGGAGCAAACAGG